CACGUAGGGGGCAAGCGUUGUCCGGAAUCAUUGGGCGUAAAGAGCUCGUAGGCGGCUCAGUAAGUCGGGUGUGAAACCCUCAGGCUCAACCUGGGGACGCCACCCGAUACUGCUGUGGCUAGAGUCCAGUAGGGGAGUGUGGAAUUCCUGGUGUAGCGGUGAAAUGCGCAGAUAUCGGGAGGAACACCAGCGGCGAAGGCGGCACUCUGGGCUGGUACUGACGCUGAGGAGCGAAAGCGUGGGUAGCAAACAGG
RNAcentral lists this ribosomal RNA (254 nucleotides) under uncultured bacterium. Its description in RNAcentral is "partial 16S ribosomal RNA". It matches the Rfam family "Bacterial small subunit ribosomal RNA", at positions 524 to 776 of the family's 1533-position model. The record is from RNAcentral.